This 497-nucleotide ribosomal RNA is filed under the name uncultured bacterium. RNAcentral's name for it is "partial 16S ribosomal RNA". It matches the Rfam family "Bacterial small subunit ribosomal RNA", at positions 28 to 507 of the family's 1533-position model. The record is from RNAcentral.
GAUGAACGCUGGCGGCGUGCCUAAUACAUGCAAGUCGAGCGAACAGACGAGGAGCUUGCUCCUCUGACGUUAGCGGCGGACGGGUGAGUAACACGUGGAUAACCUACCUAUAAGACUGGGAUAACUUCGGGAAACCGGAGCUAAUACCGGAUAAUAUAUUGAACCGCAUGGUUCAAUAGUGAAAGACGGUUUUGCUGUCACUUAUAGAUGGAUCCGCGCCGCAUUAGCUAGUUGGUAAGGUAACGGCUUACCAAGGCAACGAUGCGUAGCCGACCUGAGAGGGUGAUCGGCCACACUGGAACUGAGACACGGUCCAGACUCCUACGGGAGGCAGCAGUAGGGAAUCUUCCGCAAUGGGCGAAAGCUUGACGGAGCAACGCCGCGUGAGUGAUGAAGGUCUUCGGAUCGUAAAACUCUGUUAUUAGGGAAGACCAAAUGUGUAAGUAACUAUGCACGUCUUGACGGUACCUAAUCAGAAAGCCACGGCUAACUACGUG